Molecule: long non-coding RNA, 1150 nt
Organism: Vigna unguiculata (cowpea)
Lineage: Eukaryota; Viridiplantae; Streptophyta; Magnoliopsida; Fabales; Fabaceae
Source: RefSeq, a predicted model, not a curated record
ACGAGUGUAAAUUUCAGGCUCAUUAUCAACAAUAAAAAUAGUAUAUUUCAGUUCAGAUAUUAAUAACACAUAUAAGGUCCUACUAGUACUGCUUAUAAAAAGACUUCAAAGAACCUACGAGUGGAUGAAAAUUCGUCUACCUUUUUUCAGAAAAGCAAAGCCACUAAUGUUAUGUCCCUUUCGCUAUCUUCCAAUUAGAAAAUACUAGAAAAUCUUAAAAUAAUGAUAAAUAAUAAUAACAAUUAUUAUCAGAAGAGAGUUACGUGUCGAUUUCUAAUUGAAGCGAUAAAAAUUGAAAUUAAAUAAAACGCGUCAUUUCAAUUCUGUGGAAAUAUCUUAGAGCGGAGGGAAGAAACAUUCAUCACUCCUACCGCAAUUCACUAAAUCUGGUAGAUUCAAAAGUUUUUCAAGGGAUUGUUUCUGAUUUCAUGAGAAGGAUUUGAAGAUUGCAGAUCCUGGUGAGAAGGUUGAUGGGGUUUGGUGGAGGUGAAAAGCUUCGAAAUUUUUAAAGAUGUUUAUUUUAAUGAAUUAUAUAUGUUGUUAAGGAAUCACCAAACCCAUAUGAAUCAAAUUGUGUAGAGUUUGUUCUAACUCAAUCACAGGUCUUGAGUUUGAAUUGUGAAUACUAUGAAUGAAACUAAGAAGGACAGUUUAGUCUCUCACGGUAACCCUAAUUGACUCGAACUGCGGUUUGGUGAAGAUAUGUUUGGAGUUGAAUUUAAACAUAUAUGAUUCUUAAUUAUGGUACCUCUUCACCUUGUCAGAUUUUGUUAAACCAGUUGCAUGAACAGGUUAUGCAGCUUUUUGUAUGAUGUUCUUUUCUGAUCUAUAGACCCUAUAGCUAUGACGGUUUUGGUGUUAUCUUGUCAUGUGAUCUGCAAAGAUGGCCAACAAAAGUGAGUGGUGAACACAACUAGUUGAAGAUGAGGAGGAAGAAACAAAAGAAGAAGAAGAAGAAGAAUGAAUUACCAAGGUGUAGAAGUUUCUGAGAUCAUCUCCACCGAUAGUUAUUCUUGGUUGGUUGAAAACUUGUGAAGGUUUGAAUUCACAUCCAUUGGUGAUAUCUCUGUUAUUGUAGGUGACCCUCAUGGGAAUGGAACAUUCAAAGGGGUCCAACACAUCCCCAAUCACACGCCCUACAACCAGAGGG